CAUCCAACAAGAAUAUGUUUAUAUUUAAGUUGAAUAUUAUAAUGGAUGAGAUGAGAAUGGCAUUUAUUCAAGACAAUCUAUGGAAAUCGGGGAGUUUUGAAUGUUUUGUAUUACUAAAUAAAAAUACAAAACAUUCAAAAUUCCCUGCUAUCCUUAGAUACGUUCUACAAUCAAAAAUUCAUCCAACAAGAAUAUUUUUAUAUUCAAGUUGUAUAUUAUAAUGGAUGAGAUGAGAAUGGCAUUUAUUCAAGACCAAAAAUCUAUGGAAAUCGGGGCAUUUGGACUGUUUUUGUAUAACUAAAUCAAAUUACUAAACAGUCCAAAUGACCGGCUAUCCUUAGGUACAUUCUACAAUCAAAAUUUCAUCCAACAAGACUAUUUUUAUAUUUAAGUUGUAUAUUAUAAUGGAUGAGAUGAGAGUGGCAUUUAUUCAAGACCAUCAAUCUAUGGAAAUCGGGGAGUUUUGAAUGUUAUGUAUAACUAAAUAAAAAUACAAAACAUUCAAAAUUCCCUGCUAUCCUUAGACAUGUUCUACAAUCAAAAAUUCAUCCAACAAGAAUAUUUUUAUAUUUAAGUCGAAUAUUAUAAUGGAUGAGAUGAGAGUGGCAUUUAUUCAAGACCAUCAAUCUAUGGAAAUCGGGGUGUUUUGAAUGUUUUGUAUUACUAAAUAAAAAUACAAAACAUUCAAAAUUCCCUGCUAUCCUUAGAUACGUUCUACAAUCAAAAAUUCAUCCAACAAGACUAUUUUUAUAUUUAAGUUGAAUAUUAUAAUGGAUGAGAUGAGAAUGGCAUUUAUUCAAGACCAAAAAUCUAUGGAAAUCGGGGCAUUUGGACUGUUUUUGUAUAACUAAAUCAAAUUACUAAACAGUCCAAAUGACCGGCUAUCCUUAGGUACAUUCUACAAUCAAAAAUUCAUCCAACAAGACUAUUUUUAUAUUUAAGUUGAAUAUUAUAAUGGAUGAGAUGAGAAUGGCAUUUAUUCAAGACAAUCUAUGGAAAUCGGGGAGUUUUGAAUGUUUUGUAUUACUAAAUAAAAAUACAAAACAUUCAAAAUUCCCUGCUAUCCUUAGAUACGUUCUACAAUCAAAAAUUCAUCCAACAAGAAUAUUUUUAUAUUUAAGUUGUAUAUUAUAAUGGAUGAGAUGAGAAUGGCAUUUAUUUAAGACCAAAAAUCUAUGGAAAUCGGGGCAUUUGGACUGUUUUCGUAUAACUAAAUCAAAUUACUAAACAGUCCAAAUGACCGGCUAUCCUUAGGUACAUUCUACAAUCAAAAAUUCAUCCAACAAGACUAUUUUUAUAUUUAAGUUGAAUAUUAUAAUGGAUGAGAUGAGAAUGGCAUUUAUUCAAGACCAAAAAUCUAUGGAAAUCGGGGCAUUUGGACUGUUUUCGUAUAACUAAAACAAAUUACUAAACAGUCCAAAUGACCGGCUAUCCUUAGGUACAUUCUACAAUCAAAAAUUCAUCCAACAAGACUAUUUUUAUAUUUAAGUCGAAUAUUAUAAUGGAUGAGAUGAGAAUGGCAUUUAUUCAAGAACAUCAAUCUAUGGAAAUCGGGGAGUUUUGAAUGUUUUGUAUUACUAAAUAAAAAUACAAAACAUUCAAAAUUCCCUGCUAUCCUUAGAUACUAUCUACAAUCAAAAAUUCAUCCAACAAGACUAUUUUUAUAUUUAAGUUGAAUAUUAUAAUGGAUGAGAUGAGAAUGGCAUUUAUUCAAGACAAUCUAUGGAAAUCGGGGAGUUUUGAAUGUUUUGUAUUACUAAAUAAAAAUACAAAACAUUCAAAAUUCCCUGCUAUCCUUAGAUACGUUCUACAAUCAAAAAUUCAUCCAACAAGAAUAUUUUUAUAUUUAAGUUGUAUAUUAUAAUGGAUGAGAUGAGAAUGGCAUUUAUUCAAGACCAAAAAUCUAUGGAAAUCGGGGCAUUUGGACUGUUUUCGUAUAACUAAAUCUAAUUACUAAACAGUCCAAAUGACCGGCUAUCCUUAGGUACAUUCUACAAUCAAAAAUUCAUCCAACAAGACUAUUUUUAUAUUUAAGUUGAAUAUUAUAAUGGAUGAGAUGAGAAUGGCAUUUAUUCAAGACAAUCUAUGGAAAUCGGGGAGUUUUGAAUGUUUUGUAUUACUAAAUAAAAAUACAAAACAUUCAAAAUUCCCUGCUAUCCUUAGAUACGUUCUACAAUCAAAAAUUCAUCCAACAAGAAUAUUUUUAUAUUCAAGUUGUAUAUUAUAAUGGAUGAGAUGAGAAUGGCAUUUAUUCAAGACCAAAAAUCUAUGGAAAUCGGGGCAUUUGGACUGUUUUUGUAUAACUAAAUCAAAUUACUAAACAGUCCAAAUGACCGGCUAUCCUUAGGUACAUUCUACAAUCAAAAUUUCAUCCAACAAGACUAUUUUUAUAUUUAAGUUGUAUAUUAUAAUGGAUGAGAUGAGAGUGGCAUUUAUUCAAGACCAUCAAUCUAUGGAAAUCGGGGAGUUUUGAAUGUUAUGUAUAACUUAAGAAAAAUACAAAACAUUCAAAAUUCCCUGCUAUGUUUAGGUACAUUCUACAAUCAAAAAUUCAUCCAACAAGGUCUAUUUUUUUAUACUUAAGUUGUUUGUAUAAUAUAUAAUAUGUUUAAAUGUUAUUCAGAUUAAAUUUAAUGACAAUAUUUAAAAUUAUAAGCCAAUAUUAUUGCAUUGUACCUAUUAGAAAUGUUUUGUACCUACUUGUUAUUCUUAGUAUACUUAAUUAUAAGAAAGUUCUAUGUUAAAAAAAAAGCACUAACUGUUAAAUAUUGAUUGUUUUUAAUUGUUUUAUAAUAUGUUUCAUAAGAUUUAAUUUAUUUUUUCUUCUUUAGUUAACAAAAAAAUGCUCCAAGUUAUUCAUAAUAUUAUCUUGAAUGAUAUAUUAUUUUCUAAUAAUUUUUAAUGUUACAAUUGUAUUGUAUUCAAAUAUUUUAACUGGGUAAUUACUAAUAUACCUCAUAACAUUUUAAUAAAACUAUUGUUUAUAUUUAAUUUUAAGUAUUUUAAAUAUUAAGGCUCAGAAGAAAGUUUAUGAUAUAAAACACCCAUCUCUGAAUUAAUGGAAAUUCUGAAUGUUUUUGUAGGCAUUGUAUUAUUUUAAACGUUACAAAACAUUCAGAAUUUUCUAAUGUACAGAGUUAUCAAACAUCUUGGAACAAGUCAACGCUACGUCUAUUAUAAGGGAAUUUGUUAAAAAGUAGAGUGUGGUUUUUGUUUACUUCGCUUUUUAACAAGUUUCUUGAUAAUUGAUGUGUUUACGCAACAACAAACUAUAAUGGAGGAGAGCAGCACUUAAGCCGACUAAUCUAUGGUUAUUGGGUAAUUUUGAUUGUAUUAGUACGACUUUUAAACAAUACAAUACAAUCAAAGAUACUUACUAUCCUCAGAUACAUACUACAAUCAAAUGAGAAGAGUUUAUAGGUAGGAAUUGGGGAAUUUUGAAUGUUGUAUGACUUCAGCAGUACCCUCAGAAUUCCUCAAAACCAGGGCACUUUUUAAUUAAAAAUUCUCUAGAAUUUUUACUUCAAUAAAUUUAACUGUAAAAAUUAGUAGUGGGAAAAAAAUGUUUUUGGCAUUAAAACCAUUGAAACAUUGUAUAGGUUCUAAUUAUCAAACUGUUAUAACUUGAUGUUGAAAGCUAAAAAAAAAUGUAGGGGUUCCCUGAAAAAAAGUUUAAGAAACGCUGAGAAAACAUUCGAAAUUCCCUAUUAUCCUUAGAUACAUAUUACAAAUUUUACAUUUAUUGUUUUAUUUUCUUUAAAUUUUUGUUUGUAUAAUAAAUAUUUUAAGUAUCAUUUAAACUAAGUUACAUGAUUUUACUUUUUAAAUAAAUAGACAAAUGUUUUUGCAUUGUGAUGAACAAUUUGUAACUUGUGAUAUUUAAUAUAAGUUGGUUUAAUUUAAAAAAUUUCUAGAAAGUCUAAAUUGUGUCAAUGAAAUAAAUUAAAUAAUGUAACUAUUGAAGCAAUUAAUAUUUUUAUGUAUUUUUGCAUAUUACCGAAUAAAUGUUUGAAUUCUUAUUUCCUGAAUAUUCUUAUCUCGAAUAAAAUAAAAUAUAUCCUCUACAUUCAAUUGUAUGCUAUAUGACAUGUUUCUGUAAAAUAGAAAAAAACGUAAUGCACAUUGCACAAUGACAUCUUAAUUUAAAAAUUAAUCUAAAUAGUAAAUAUAAUAAAUAUAUAAUGUCAUGGUGUGAUUGGUACUUAUUAAUAUUAGGAGCUUCUAUAUGUUACUGUACAACUAACCUUAUAUAAACAUUCAAAAUGUCUGAAGCAAAUAAACGCAAUAUUUUUAUAUUAAGGCUGGGGCCACACAUAGUGGUUGAACCGCGUAUGACGUGUGGACGCGUGUCAGGCUGUUGCAUUUAAAAUCAAAAAAUUUGAUUUUUUUGAGCGGUUCAAUCGCUGUGUGGCCCCGGCCUAGAUAAACUUAUUAAAAAUAUAUGGUGGAAAUGACUGUUAUACUUAGUUUUUUAAUAAGUUUCAUAAUCGGCAUGUAUAAACCAACUCAAUUAAAAAUAUAUACAUAUAGCAAUACGACUAUUGGAAAAUGUAUAAUAUUUUGAAUCUUAUUGUCCUGUACUGUAUCCCGUACUCCUAUCGUAUAAUUCUUAUUUAAAACUACUUGUCGUCUUAAUCUAUUGCUUAUGCCUUAUUUGUUAAGUUCAAAAUAUUCAUAAUAUAC
Long non-coding RNA from Aphis gossypii (cotton aphid), 4683 nucleotides. RefSeq lists it as uncharacterized. The record is from RefSeq and is a predicted model, not a curated record. NCBI's taxonomy places the organism in Eukaryota, Metazoa, Arthropoda, Insecta, Hemiptera, Aphididae. The transcript is spliced from 3 exons.